This 467-nucleotide ribosomal RNA is filed under the name uncultured bacterium. RNAcentral describes it as "partial 16S ribosomal RNA". It matches the Rfam family "Bacterial small subunit ribosomal RNA", at positions 28 to 506 of the family's 1533-position model. The record is from RNAcentral.
GACGAACGCUGGCGGCGUGCUUAACACAUGCAAGUCGAACGGAAAGGCCCUGCUUUUGUGGGGUGCUCGAGUGGCGAACGGGUGAGUAACACGUGAGUAACCUGCCCUUGACUUUGGGAUAACUUCAGGAAACUGGGGCUAAUACCGGAUAGGAGCUCCUGCUGCAUGGUGGGGGUUGGAAAGUUUCGGCGGUUGGGGAUGGACUCGCGGCUUAUCAGCUUGUUGGUGGGGUAGUGGCUUACCAAGGCUUUGACGGGUAGCCGGCCUGAGAGGGUGACCGGCCACAUUGGGACUGAGAGACGGCCCAGACUCCUACGGGAGGCAGCAGUGGGGAAUAUGGCACAAUGGGCGGAAGCCUGAUGCAGCAACGCCGCGUGCGGGAGGACGGCCUUCGGGUUGUAAACCGCUUUCGCCUGUGACGAAGCGUGAGUGACGGUAAUGGGUAAAGAAGCACCGGCUAACUACGU